AACGAACGCUGGCGGCAGGCUUAACACAUGCAAGUCGAGCGCCCCGCAAGGGGAGCGGCCGACGGGUGAGUACCGCGUGGGAACGUACCUUUUGGUUCGGAACAACUCCGGGAAACUGGAGCUAAUACCGGAUAAGCCCUAACGGGGAAAGAUUUAUCGCCGAAAGAUCGGCCCGCGUCUGAUUAGCUAGUUGGUGAGGUAACGGCUCACCAAGGCGACGAUCAGUAGCUGGUCUGAGAGGAUGAUCAGCUACACUGGGACUGAGACACGGCCCAGACUCCUACGGGAGGCAGCAGUGGGGAAUAUUGGACAAUGGGCGCAAGCCUGAUCCAGCCAUGCCGCGUGAGUGAUGAAGGCCUUAGGGUUGUAAAGCUCUUUUGUCCGGGAAGAUAAUGACUGUACCGGAAGAAUAAGCCCCGGCUAACUUCGUG
RNAcentral lists this ribosomal RNA (431 nucleotides) under uncultured bacterium. RNAcentral's name for it is "partial 16S ribosomal RNA". It matches the Rfam family "Bacterial small subunit ribosomal RNA", at positions 29 to 507 of the family's 1533-position model. The record is from RNAcentral.